RNAcentral lists this long non-coding RNA (227 nucleotides) under Olea europaea (common olive). Its description in RNAcentral is "long non-coding RNA (OEUR_LNC004960)". The record is from RNAcentral. Lineage: Eukaryota; Viridiplantae; Streptophyta; Magnoliopsida; Lamiales; Oleaceae.
GUAAGGUUGGGCAAUUGCUCACUUAUGUUCGAAGAAAAGAGAAUGUGACAAAAUACUAAGAAAACUUGAACACCUCUGUAAUGACUUCCCCAAUCUGUGUACCUUUCUUUGAAAGUAUAUCUUCUAAGCUAUGAAAUACAAGGUCUGCUAACUAAAUUCCAGUCUUCUGCUACUGCCAUACAUCCUUCAAAUAUGCUACAUAUAAUUCUGAUUGUUACUGCAUUUUC